RNAcentral lists this ribosomal RNA (461 nucleotides) under uncultured Thiobacillus sp. RNAcentral's name for it is "bacterial SSU rRNA". It matches the Rfam family "Bacterial small subunit ribosomal RNA", at positions 920 to 1382 of the family's 1533-position model. Lineage: Bacteria; Pseudomonadati; Pseudomonadota; Betaproteobacteria; Nitrosomonadales; Thiobacillaceae. The record is from RNAcentral.
CCCGCACAAGCGGUGGAUUAUGUGGAUUAAUUCGAUGCAACGCGAAAACUUACCUACCCUUGACAUGCUAGGAACUUGCCAGAGAUGGCUUGGUGCCCGAAAGGGAACCUAGACACAGGUGCUGCAUGGCUGUCGUCAGCUCGUGUCGUGAGAUGUUGGGUUAAGUCCCGCAACGAGCGCAACCCUUGUCAUUAAUUGCCAUCAUUCAGUUGGGCACUUUAAUGAGACUGCCGGUGACAAACCGGAGGAAGGUGGGGAUGACGUCAAGUCCUCAUGGCCCUUAUGGGUAGGGCUUCACACGUAAUACAAUGGUCGGUACAGAGGGUUGCCAACCCGCGAGGGGGAGCCAAUCCCAGAAAACCGAUCGUAGUCCGGAUUGCAGUCUGCGACUCGACUGCAUGAAGUCGGAAUCGCUAGUAAUCGCGGAUCAGCAUGUCGCGGUGAAUACGUUCCCGGGCCUU